GCCGCCUUUGGCUUAGAAGUUCCCCCAUACAGACGCUUCAUUUAAUUUCUUUGCUUCUCUGUGUCUUAGUUUCCCCACAUGGAUCAGACCUUGUCAAACAGGCAGCUCGGGGCUGCCUGAUGGCCCCGGAGAGAAAGCCCAGGGCCCUCUGAGGCCUCACAUGGAGAAUAUCAUCCUAAGCAAAGACGUGGAAGCCGUGAGGGAAAGGCUGACGCACAGAUCACCAGGGGCAGGGGCCGGCGGGUACGGGGACAGAAGCCCAAAGCAAAGCUGUCGACCUGGAGAAGAUCAUUGCAAGGUAUAGACAGAGAAAGAGGCUGAAACAAGAAUGCAGUCAAAGGAACCUGACUGUCAGUGACAGGAGAGAAAGAGCUGCAAGCCAAAACAUGCAAAACCAGCCUUUCAUUGAGGAGAAAAUGAAAAAUACAGAAUGAAAUGAAGGGGAGUUUCAAGAACUUGCAGGAGCCGAGCUUCCUGUGCAAAUGAGAAGCCCGGGGCAGAUGGCGCCCUCGUCAUCCUCGUUAUCGUUGGUGCCCAUGCUGGUGGAUGCAGACCGGCCGCAGUGCAGAGGGUCCGCUUUCCCGCUGCCGUGGACCCAGAACCGCUUGGUGGCAUCCCAGGUGGGCCUGGGAGGGCACAGAACACAGCAGAAUCAGACGCGGGAAGGAGCGACACAUCGCAACAGCGUCUCCGCUGCUGCUGACAGCUUGAAGAUCACGGUCUCCAGCAGCAGGCCCUCUACGCUAAACGUGUCCCCUGAAGUCCGUCGUGGUGCCGGGUGCUGCGGAGGGGGGAGCGAGCCCCUCACAUCGGCGGGACUACCAGCCCAGACAUAGCUGAAAGAGAGAGGCGGCAGCCCAGGGGCCCCCGAAGGCGCGCACAGAAGCUGGGGAGGCGUGGAAGGCACCGGACCCGGAGUCAGAGGAGCACCUCGCAUACCCUCACGUCUGCUCCCCGGAGACCUCCGGAGCAGACCUCCAGCGGGACGAAGGUGGGCCGUGGGUGCCCGUCCUUCCCUCCCAGGCCGGCAGCACCAGCCGUCCACCUACCACGGGACCCCCCGGACGGAUUUCGAGGUGGCUGUUCCCUGUGACAAGGCCUGCUGCUCCGGCUCCCUGACACUGACGUGUGACUUUCUACUCUCAUACCCGGGGUGAGGGUGAAAACAGGAAGGCGAACCUUUCUCCCACCAGACUGAGUGGUCGUGAACGGGUGCGUGUGCGCCCAGAAAACCCGCGGUGGACCCGGGCCAGCUGGCCCCUCCGAGGACACGGUCAGCCUGGGGAGGGGGCAGGCACGUCAGGCUGCCGUCUGCCUACCUGGUUGUUGUGGGGCAUCCCGUAUAAGGCUUCCACAAGAUCCGCCGCCCUCUUGAGUAAUACUUCCUGAAGGAGAAGCAAAGGGGGCAGUGAUGUGACCGGAGGAAGCUGAGCACUGCUCUUCGGAGAAAGAGCUACAUGCGGAUUCACAGUUCCACCUGCCGGGAGAAGAGGCCUCUGCCCCCCCCCCCCCGCCCCCCCCCCCCCCCCGCCGUCCUGACCCUGUGAGGAAGGAAG
Acinonyx jubatus (cheetah) is the source of this 1556-nucleotide long non-coding RNA. RefSeq lists it as uncharacterized. Lineage: Eukaryota; Metazoa; Chordata; Mammalia; Carnivora; Felidae. The record is from RefSeq and is a predicted model, not a curated record. The transcript is spliced from 7 exons.